Non-coding RNA from Pelobates cultripes (western spadefoot toad), 217 nucleotides. The record is from the annotation of a GenBank genome assembly. Lineage: Eukaryota; Metazoa; Chordata; Amphibia; Anura; Pelobatidae.
CCUGCACUGUGAAUGUUUACAUGGUGUGUUCAAUAAAAACAUGGCAACAUUUCAUUCUUUGUGUGUUAUUAGUUUAAGCAGACUGUGAUUGUCUAUUGUUGUGACUUAGAUGAUGAUCAGAUCACAUUUUAUGACCACUUUGUGCAGAAAUCCAUAUCAUUCCAAAGGGUUCAAAUACUUUUUCUUGCAACUGUAGAACCAGCAAAACAAUGUACAU